AACGAACGCUGGCGGCAUGCCUAACACAUGCAAGUCGAACGAGGCCUUCGGGUCUAGUGGCGCACGGGUGCGUAACGCGUGGGAACCUGCCCUUAGGUUCGGAAUAACUCCCCGAAAGGGGUGCUAAUACCGGAUAAUGUCUUCGGACCAAAGAUUUAUCGCCUUUGGAUGGGCCCGCGUUGGAUUAGCUAGUUGGUAGGGUAGAAGCCUACCAAGGCGACGAUCCAUAGCUGGUCUGAGAGGAUGAUCAGCCACACUGGGACUGAGACACGGCCCAGACUCCUACGGGAGGCAGCAGUGGGGAAUAUUGGACAAUGGGCGAAAGCCUGAUCCAGCAAUGCCGCGUGAGUGAUGAAGGCCUUAGGGUUGUAAAGCUCUUUUACCCGGGAUGAUAAUGACAGUACCGGGAGAAUAAGCUCCGGCUAACUCCGUG
RNAcentral lists this ribosomal RNA (433 nucleotides) under uncultured bacterium. RNAcentral describes it as "partial 16S ribosomal RNA". It matches the Rfam family "Bacterial small subunit ribosomal RNA", at positions 29 to 507 of the family's 1533-position model. The record is from RNAcentral.